RNAcentral lists this ribosomal RNA (433 nucleotides) under uncultured bacterium. RNAcentral describes it as "partial 16S ribosomal RNA". It matches the Rfam family "Bacterial small subunit ribosomal RNA", at positions 29 to 507 of the family's 1533-position model. The record is from RNAcentral.
AACGAACGCUGGCGGCAUGCCUAACACAUGCAAGUCGAACGAGACCUUCGGGUCUAGUGGCGCACGGGUGCGUAACGCGUGGGAACCUGCCCUUAGGUUCGGAAUAACUCCCCGAAAGGGGUGCUAAUACCGGAUAAUGUCUUCGGACCAAAGAUUUAUCGCCUUUGGAUGGGCCCGCGUUGGAUUAGCUAGUUGGUAGGGUAAAAGCCUACCAAGGCGACGAUCCAUAGCUGGUCUGAGAGGAUGAUCAGCCACACUGGGACUGAGACACGGCCCAGAAUCCUACGGGAGGCAGCAGUGGGGAAUAUUGGACAAGGGGCGAAAGCCUGAUACAGCAAUGCCGCGUGAGUGAUGAAGGCCUUAGGGUUGUAAAGCUCUUUUACCCGGGAUGAUAAUGACAGUACCGGGAGAAUAAGCCCCGGCUAACUCCGUG